Molecule: ribosomal RNA, 618 nt
Filed under: Vibrio cholerae
Lineage: Bacteria; Pseudomonadati; Pseudomonadota; Gammaproteobacteria; Vibrionales; Vibrionaceae
Also listed under: 1 other name
Description: partial 23S ribosomal RNA
Rfam family: Bacterial large subunit ribosomal RNA
Source: RNAcentral
AAGGUGGGCUAAUCACGGUUGGACAUCGUGAGGUUAGUGCAAUGGCAUAAGCCCGCUUAACUGCGAGAAUGACGGUUCGAGCAGGUGCGAAAGCAGGUCAUAGUGAUCCGGUGGUUCUGUAUGGAAGGGCCAUCGCUCAACGGAUAAAAGGUACUCCGGGGAUAACAGGCUGAUACCGCCCAAGAGUUCAUAUCGACGGCGGUGUUUGGCACCUCGAUGUCGGCUCAUCACAUCCUGGGGCUGAAGUCGGUCCCAAGGGUAUGGCUGUUCGCCAUUUAAAGUGGUACGCGAGCUGGGUUUAGAACGUCGUGAGACAGUUCGGUCCCUAUCUGCCGUGGGCGUUGGAAGAUUGAAGGGGGCUGCUCCUAGUACGAGAGGACCGGAGUGGACGAACCUCUGGUGUUCGGGUUGUGUCGCCAGACGCAUUGCCCGGUAGCUAAGUUCGGAAUUGAUAAGCGCUGAAAGCAUCUAAGCGCGAAGCGAGCCCUGAGAUGAGUCUUCCCUGAUACUUUAAGUAUCCUAAAGGGUUGUUCGAGACUAGAACGUUGAUAGGCAGGGUGUGUAAGCGUUGUGAGGCGUUGAGCUAACCUGUACUAAUUGCCCGUGAGGCUUAACCAU